AGAGUUUGAUCCUGGCUCAGGAUGAACGCUGGCGGCGUGCUUAACACAUGCAAGUCGAACGGGCUCAUAUUGAAACCUAGUGAUGUAUGAGUUAGUGGCGGACGGGUGAGUAACGCGUGGAGAACCUGCCGUAUACUGGGGGAUAACACUUAGAAAUAGGUGCUAAUACCGCAUAAGCGCACAGCUUCGCAUGAAGCAGUGUGAAAAACUCCGGUGGUAUACGAUGGAUCCGCGUCUGAUUAGCUGGUUGGCGGGGUAACAGCCAACCAAGGCGACGAUCAGUAGCCGGCCUGAGAGGGUGAACGGCCACAUUGGGACUGAGACACGGCCCAAACUCCUACGGGAGGCAGCAGUGGGGAAUAUUGCACAAUGGGGGAAACCCUGAUGCAGCGACGCCGCGUGAGUGAAGAAGUAUUUCGGUAUGUAAAGCUCUAUCAGCAGGGAAGAAAAUGACGGUACCUGACUAAGAAGCCCCGGCUAACUACGUGCCAGCAGCCGCGGUAAUACGUAGGGGGCAAGCGUUAUCCGGAUUUACUGGGUGUAAAGGGAGCGUAGACGGCAGCGCAAGUCUGAAGUGAAAUCCCAUGGCUUAACCAUGGAACUGCUUUGGAAACUGUGCAGCUGGAGUGCAGGAGAGGUAAGCGGAAUUCCUAGUGUAGCGGUGAAAUGCGUAGAUAUUAGGAGGAACACCAGUGGCGAAGGCGGCUUACUGGACUGUAACUGACGUUGAGGCUCGAAAGCGUGGGGAGCAAACAGGAUUAGAUACCCUGGUAGUCCACGCCGUAAACGAUGAUUACUAGGUG
Molecule: ribosomal RNA, 803 nt
Filed under: uncultured bacterium
Lineage: Bacteria
Description: bacterial SSU rRNA
Rfam family: Bacterial small subunit ribosomal RNA
Source: RNAcentral